AUUUCUUUUAUUUUAUAGUAACUAAAGAUGGGCCAAAUGUUGUAGUGGAGAAAAUGGCUCUUUUGUCCGAACAUAAAGUGGUCAAGGAAGUUGACCUCACAGGAGACUUGUCAAAGAUUAAAGAUACACCGUUUGUAAUCAAGGAGGGUGCUGAAUUCCAAAUUCAAGUGACAUUUAGGGUAAG
This is a long non-coding RNA of Anneissia japonica, 184 nucleotides long. RefSeq lists it as uncharacterized. NCBI's taxonomy places the organism in Eukaryota, Metazoa, Echinodermata, Crinoidea, Comatulida, Comatulidae. The record is from RefSeq and is a predicted model, not a curated record. The transcript has 2 exons.